GACGAACGCUGGCGGCGUGCUUAACACAUGCAAGUCGAACGAUGAUCCGGAGCUUGCUCCUGUGAUUAGUGGCGAACGGGUGAGUAACACGUGAGUAACCUGCCCCUGACUCUGGGAUAAGCGUUGGAAACGACGUCUAAUACUGGAUAUGAUCACUGGCCGCAUGGUCUGGUGGUGGAAAGAUUUUUUGGUUGGGGAUGGACUCACGGCCUAUCAGCUUGUUGGUGAGGUAAUGGCUCACCAAGGCGACGACGGGUAGCCGGCCUGAGAGGGUGACCGGCCACACUGGGACUGAGACACGGCCCAGACUCCUACGGGAGGCAGCAGUGGGGAAUAUUGCACAAUGGGCGAAAGCCUGAUGCAGCAACGCCGCGUGAGGGAUGACGGCCUUCGGGUUGUAAACCUCUUUUAGUAGGGAAGAAGCGAAAGUGACGGUACCUGCAGAAAAAGCACCGGCUAACUACGUG
Molecule: ribosomal RNA, 467 nt
Filed under: uncultured bacterium
Lineage: Bacteria
Description: partial 16S ribosomal RNA
Rfam family: Bacterial small subunit ribosomal RNA
Source: RNAcentral